UACUGUGUGUGAUACUCUCGUGCAAGUCUGUGUGUGAGCGGGUGUACAACGGUCGUUUUACUUGCAUCAGAACAUGCCGUGCAGGAAUAGGAACAUGUGAAUUCUGGCACAGAAGAGAUGGAUUUGUUUCAGCCACUUCCUCUUUCGCGGCAAGGAAGGGGACCUCAGAGUCCUUGCCAACAUAUGGGAAUUACUUCAACAGUUGCUGAUUGCUACAAGAAGUUGAUUUCCCCCCUCUGUUGUUUAACAUGUACUGUAAUUGUAAGCAGCUCCAUGGUGGCAGCGGCCGUGAGACGAAGCGCUCCGAAAGACUGAAGCUAUUUAAGCUGUGACGGAAGAAGGACCAUCUUGUGUGACCACCGGAUCACGGGAGUGCAUGAAAAAUGAAUGAACCAGAUUCAUCACUAUGGUUCCUUUUCCAAGCAAAACAAGAGACCUGAAUUCACAUUUGAACAAUUAAAGGCGGCUUGGGUGAGAAGGGGAGUGACUCGGUGUCCCAACCUCAAUAUCUCCCCAACUGAGGAACAACAAAACCAAAACACAGGCAGCUGCAGAACAGCCCAUAGACGUGUGCAAUGAUUAGCGGGACUGGGACUCUAAGACUCGCGCUGCCUGGGACCAAUGCCAAACACUGACAAAAACACUCACUAUGUUCUCAGGGUGAGUGCAUUGACUCUUCCCCUUUUUCUUUUCUGGGAUUUAAUGAAGUUUUUUUGGUGGGGGAGGGAGAGAGAAAGAGAGAGAGAGACCUUUGAGAUUAAUGUUGAAUAGACGUAGGAGUUUGACAGCUGCUGGAGUUCUUGGCAAAGGGAGGCACAGAAAGAAAUCACGUAAGUAUCGCCCAUUUUGGUGAACUCUAUCUAUCUGUCUCCUUUCUAGUCUGGGCACCUAUUCUCAGCUCAUCCUCCUAUCUUUGGACAAUGUUGGCAAGUGUGAACUGUUUCAAAUUACGAACCUAAACAGCAGUGCCACCAAAAUACAUGGAAGUAAACGAGAUCUAUUUAAAAUGAGCCUCGUCUAUCAUGACCGGAAGUGACAUUCUGCACGUAAGGCUAUUCAGCUCUGUCCGCACAAGAUGAUGAGAGAUAGAGAUGUGUUCGCCGUCCCUUCACACAUCUUUCACCAGCUUCUGCCUAUUUGCUUCUUCCUUUCUGUCUCUCUAUCUCUAUCCGUCUUUCUCUUGCCCUCCCUCUCUCUCUCUCUCUCUCUCUCUCUCUUGCUUUCACCCUCCUGCUUUCUCUCUCACUGUCGUUUUGUCUUUUUCACUUGGCAUCAGUGCCAAAGAGGGCUGGGAGAAAGACGAGAGAGAGCGAGAGAGAGUGUAAAGACGAGGCUGCUUAGCUUGCUGACUCUUCAGCUACAGCCCCGUGGUAUGGUGCGGUUGGUGGUGAGCACAUUUCUGUGUCACUCUCUUGCUCUCCCUCUCUCUUGCGAAACGCACAGUACAGCCUAUAUAUAUGUGGGGUGGAGAGGGGCUGUGUUGCUACCCGUUCUCUUUCCCGCCCGCCAUGGCCUUCGCUCGCCUCCAGUCUUUAACUUCCACACUCAAGGUGACAGCCAAGUCGACUGCUGCUCAAGACCCACACAAGAGACACGACAGCAGUAUAGGAUACCUUCUGAGACCUCAGCGCAGUUUGACUCAUGAUAUGUAACCAUAAUGCAUAGAGGCAGAGGGGUCAAUCAUUGCACGAAUGUAUUUCAAGGCCGGGUCAUCUGAAAUACGCUGGUCUGCGUGGCUCUGGAGGCGAGAGAAGAGUGAUGCAGUGCCUUGUUGAGGUGAGGUAGUAGGUUGUAUAGUUUGGUGGGGAGAUCCUUCCCUAUUCUGGUGAUAACUAUACAGUCUAUUGCCUUCCCCGAGGGGUGCACAAGGCACAGGUCUCCAACUCAGGACACAACCUUCAAAUAUAUGGGUGAUGUUGGCAUUUCAGUUAAGACAGUGAUCUAUGCUAACUAUGCCUUUAUUUCACUAACAUUUACCUGGAAUUCAACCUGAAUGUUCUAUAUCAUGUCAGAAACAUGUCGUAGCAGGUGUCUUAUGUGAAAAGAUUCUAUGACAGAUUAUUUGUAAUGACAUAUUUUUGAUGUUGACGCUUUAUUAGCAUGUGACAUAGAAUGUUCUGACGUCUGACAUAUAGAGCUGCCAUGACACUUCCCUAUAAUGGUAACAUGACACUGUUAUGUUUCCUUCAUGGUUGAGAGUUCAUUAUCAUUAUCAAGAUAUCCUGCAUAGCUUGUUUGUCUAGUCAGUUUGUCAAGCAAUGAGACACUUCAGAAGGAUGAUUUGAAUCCAUUAUUGACAUGAAUUAGAAUUCAACAGAACACACAUUGGAUGACAGAUGCAUUUAAUAAGUAGGCAAGCAAGACGUGGUGUAACAGUUCAUAUUAUUCGGAUCAUUUUAACUGGUUAAAAAAAAAAUAAAGCUGAAAAGUGGUUCAUGAAGGGAAAAUUAUGCUUAAUAAAAUUCUUUGUUUUUUACUGA
This is a long non-coding RNA of Clupea harengus (Atlantic herring), 2480 nucleotides long. RefSeq lists it as uncharacterized. The record is from RefSeq and is a predicted model, not a curated record. Lineage: Eukaryota; Metazoa; Chordata; Actinopteri; Clupeiformes; Clupeidae.